CUACGGGAGGCAGCAGGGGGGAAUUUUGUGCAAUGGGGGAAACCCUGACACAGCGACACCGCGUGGAUGAAGAAGCCCUUUGGGGUGUAAAAUCCUGUCGGCUGGAACGAAACAAAUGACGGUACCAGCAGAGGAAGCAUCGGCUAACUACGUGCCAGCAGCCGCGGUAAGACGUAGGAUGCAAGCGUUGUCCGGAUUUAUGGGGCGUAAAGAGUUCGUAGGCGGUUUGUUAAGUCUGAUGUUAAAGAUCGGGGCCCAACCCUGGGAGUGCAUUGGAUACUGGCAGACUGGAGUGUGGUAGAGGUUAGUGGAAUUCCCAGUGUAGCGGUGAAAUGCGUAGAUAUUGGGAAGAACACCAGUGGCGUAGGCGACUAACUGGGCCAUAACUGACGCUGAGGAACGAAAGCCAGGGGAGCGAAUGGGACUAGAUACCCCAGUAGUCCUGGCCGUAAACGAUGGAUACUAGGCGUAGUGGGUAUCGACCCCUACUGUGCCGUAGCUAACGCGAUAAGUAUCCCGCCUGAGUAGUACAGCCGCAAGGUUGAAACUCAAAUGAAUUGACGG
RNAcentral lists this ribosomal RNA (564 nucleotides) under uncultured bacterium. Its description in RNAcentral is "bacterial SSU rRNA". It matches the Rfam family "Bacterial small subunit ribosomal RNA", at positions 339 to 916 of the family's 1533-position model. The record is from RNAcentral.